UACAAGAUACUAUCUUAAAGAUGUGUUUAUUGCCGAGUUAGUGUUGGUUUUAGUGCUUUUGCACACGUUCAACCAAUAAUCAGCACAAAUAGCCCUAACCUUUUCUAUUUUUGUUUUUUUUUAUGAUAAAAAUAGUCAUUGGUUGCCUGACUGGACAUCUAUCAACUAAUCAGAAAUUGAAAAUAUUUGAUUUAUUUACCGUGUAAUUGUGGUUUAGAAGAAGGUGUCAAUUUCAUUUUAUAGUCAAAUUCGCUCAACUGGAAAAAUAAACACUUCCGAUAAUCUUCAAUGAUUGCACUUAUAACAUUAAUCGUGAAGUAGGAAAAAACAAAUCAGGAGUUAAAAUAUUUAUUAAUUCCGAUUAAUUGGCGUUUGACGUAAACUAUAGUAAAGUAAAGGUACAUUUUAUGUUCUAUAUCCGCAAUGGAAAACAUAUAAAAUCCCUAGCAUUCAUUAAGUUUCCAAAUUUCAAAACAUCAAGGAUCGGGUCAAGAUGAACAUUUUCAAAUUUAGUUUAAUUUUGUUACUUGUAUGUUCAACUACUGCUAGACGAAAACGACAUGCUCAUAGAUGCCGUGAAGAAGUUGAUCUCGAAAAAUGCGGUAGGUAAUUCACUGUACCAUGAAAGAUUUUAAAGAUUUUUAUAUAUAUAUAUAACAGAGUUAAGCACUUCUAUGCUAUGAAACUAAUUCAAAGCAUUGCGGUUUAAGUCACGAGUCAAAAUAUCAACAAAUCCAUGUUUUUCCUACAUUUCGUAUCAAAAUAAAAAAAAUGCAUUUUGAAAUUUAUUUAUUAUGUAUUAAAAAACAAACAACACACCACAUAAAUCACACAAUGUUAUUCAGGUUUUAUUUGAAUUUUGUAAUUUAUUUUAUUUUUUAUGUAUGUAAUUUUCAACUUUUUAAAUACAUAUUGCAAUUUUUACAUUGUUAUGAAGUGUCGUUUCUUACCGGUGUUUUAUUUUAACAAAAUGUUUUUGAAAUUAUGGUUUUUGAAAUGAAUUAUGAACAAGAGUGGGGAGUUGGAUACAAUUUAAAUGUCAAUAAGGAGGAAAAACUUUUAUUAAUAAAAAAAAAUCAAGUCAUCUGCAGGUUAAUAUUUUAUGCUUUUUACAUAAAUCCUUCAAUUCAAUUCAUAGUAAUCGAUGGUGUUAUGCACAUUAAAUUGUUAUUAUCUUUUUGUUUAUUAUUUUUAAUCAAAUUUUAUUUCAUAUUUAUGUCGUGACGAAUUUGAUAUUAGGUAGACGAUAGAUAUAUAAUGAGUUUUAUACAAGAGUAAAUUUAAACUCUGUUGUGUAUUUUAUCCAUUUUUACUUCUUGGGCAUAAAUUAAUAUUGAGAUAUUUGGUUUAACCCUUAUAGAAUAUAACCUGUCCAUGCAUGGUUUCGACCACUAUCUGAAUCAAAAUGAAGUUGGAUAUGGUGAUAUACUCUGUAUGGUAAGUCUUUGUUUAAUCAGUCAAAAUAACGGACGAAUAACUAAAGCAAUGCCAGUGAAAACGAAACUAUGUUGGCUAUCAAGCCUUUGUAGCAAACCUGCUCAGUCAAAAUCUCGAAACCCACCAAUUCUUCUAUUGCAACAUUUGAAUUAGAUUUUUCAUCGACUUUGUACUUACACGACGAAUGUCAUUUGUGGAUUAUGAUCGUGAUGCUAAGACUUUGGUUUACUAUAAGUUGAUUGUAUGCUUCUAAAUGAUAGUUUCUCUUCGAAUUAUGAAAAGUUGAAUGUCUUCUUGGUACCUUUCAAUAUAAUUAAAGAAAUCACAAACAAGUAACACACGAUUAUAAUUACAAGUGACAUCUUGUUAAAGAACACUUUAUAGCCGGUGCAUAGAGUUGUUCUACCUACAAGAUGUAUGUGUAAUGAUAAAAAAAAACUCAAAAGACUUUGUGAAGAUCUUAAGCAGAAUUCCAUUUACUACAUUUUGUACAUGACUCAAUUUAAGACACCAGUUAACAUUUUCGAUAUCUGGUUGACCAAAACUUUCUUUAAUUUAAAGCAAUCAAAAGACAACAGCGCCUUAUUAUAACUAAAAAUUACUUGUUCUUGUAAAAGAAUUAAUUUAUUACAGAUCUACAUAUUACCUAAAAAGCGUAUUUUCAAUAAUCUGUUUGUCUAUAAAGACGUCAAAAAGUGUGCUUAAAAGCUUACAAAGAAGAUUUCUUUUUCGUACAAAAUGACUGUGUAAAACGAAGGAAUUAUUAAUAAGGACUUAAUCGGAGUACUUGGAACGUGUGAUAUCAGUUAAUAAUAGCUUACAUGAAUUUUCAUGAUUGACGUGUUUGAAACAGCGUCCUAUUGAUAAUUAUCAACAAAAAUACGAGGCUCGUUUUUUACGUGAACGCGCAUUCCGUCUAAACCAGACUCGUCAUUUUGCAUAAAUCAAUUAUAUAUGGUAGCAUAGGGUAAAAACUUCACUAUUGAAUUUCGACUAUGAUGUCAGUUAACCUAUGUUGUUUUAAUAAAAUAUAUGUAUUGGGUUUUCUCAACUGUGUUUAUAAAUGCUAAUCAGAUUGGUGUGUUUAUUACUAUGUUAGUUGUUUUUUACAGAUUAAAUGGUUACGUGAUCAUAUGGGAAUUCAUAUACCACAACGACGUUUGUGAUGGAAUUCCAAAAAAGGAAACGGAUUGUCUUUUCGUUAUUGGUGCUAUCCUGUUCAAGUUCUAAAAUGCCAAAUGAC
This 2680-nucleotide long non-coding RNA is filed under the name Mytilus galloprovincialis (Mediterranean mussel). Lineage: Eukaryota; Metazoa; Mollusca; Bivalvia; Mytilida; Mytilidae. The record is from RNAcentral.